Molecule: ribosomal RNA, 440 nt
Filed under: uncultured bacterium
Lineage: Bacteria
Description: bacterial SSU rRNA
Rfam family: Bacterial small subunit ribosomal RNA
Source: RNAcentral
AACGCGAAGAACCUUACCCAGGCUUGAACAGCGAGUGACAAACUACGAAAGUGGUCUUCCGCAAGGACACUCGUAGAGGUGCUGCAUGGCUGUCGUCAGCUCGUGUCGUGAGAUGUUGGGUUAAGUCCCGCAACGAGCGCAACCCUUGUCUGCUGUUGCCAUCAGGUUAUGCUGGGCACUCUGCAGAGACUGCCGGUGAUAAACCGGAGGAAGGUGGGGAUGACGUCAAGUCAGCAUGGCCUUUAUGUCUGGGGCUACACACGUGCUACAAUGGCCGAUACAAACCGUCGCGAGCCCGCAAGGGGGAGCUAAUCGGAGAAAGUCGGUCUCAGUUCGGAUUGUCGGCUGCAACUCGCCGGCAUGAAGUUGGAAUCGCUAGUAAUCGCGGAUCAGCACGCCGCGGUGAAUACGUUCCCGGGCCUUGUACACACCGACGCGUA